Mytilus trossulus (common blue mussel) is the source of this 471-nucleotide long non-coding RNA. RefSeq lists it as uncharacterized. The record is from RefSeq and is a predicted model, not a curated record. The transcript has 4 exons. NCBI's taxonomy places the organism in Eukaryota, Metazoa, Mollusca, Bivalvia, Mytilida, Mytilidae.
CCUAAGUCGUACUUAAUGGGGUAAAUAAAUCUAAAUCUGAGUGGUUAGUCAUAUUGGUAUAUAUAUCAGACAUCUCUGGCAAUUCCUUGUAUAGUUCAGCAAAAGGACACCUUAGACUUUAUAACAUUUAAGAAUAAUUAUAAACCGACCAGAAUGAAAUUAUUUGCUAUCUGUGUCCUCCUGAUGGUUGUUCUGGCUAGUUUUAGUGUUAGUGCAAUGGAAGAAAGUGGACGUUACAAGAGGAACGCAUUUUGGGGUGGCAGAGGUGGAUGGGGAGGUGGAUUUAGAGGAGGUUUUGGAGGUGGAUUCGGACGACGAGGAGGUUGGGGAGGUGGAUUCAGAAGAGGAGGAUGGGGAGGCGGAUACCAUGGAUAAACUAUUUAUGUGAAGACUUACGACUUAUGGAAUGCAGCAUACUGACCUCUUAUAUAUGUUAUACUUUAAUAUCUGUAAUAAAUUGCAUCACUAAAA